CCAGCUUGCACACAUACACACAGUACUUUGACCUCAAAUUACUCAAACUAACAAUUAAAUUGGUACUCAGAAAGAGCUUUUUAGCUCCUAAUCUAGUUUUGACAUUAUUAGAUAUAAGGACAAUGCAGACAUUAGACAACUUCUGUUUCUGUAAGACCUCCGGUUAGAUCUAGUGGAAUCAUACCCGAUUCUCCCAAUGUUUUUAAGAACUACAGAUAAUGAACUGAGAAGCAACACUCAGCAACACUGAACAAGCCUUUCAGCAAGAUCCAUUGCAAUCCUUCAGCUUCACUCUUCAUCGUGCCCUUUCUGUGAAUGGAAAAGACAUGAAAAGGGUUUUGGAAAUGAAGGAUCCUGUUGGGGAAUCCUUUUCUGCAGAUGCGGAUACCCUCCAGCACACCGUUACAGCGCAGCUGGUGCAUGACCAGAGGAUUCUCCAUCGCCCCAGGAGUCUUCGUCUCAUUGGGGAUGAUGCAGCGCACAAAGUGAGGGAAUGAAGUCUCAUAAACUCAAUGGGAAGGAGGACAGCUGCAGUUUUGUAUGCAGCUUUAAUCUUGAGUCAAUGUAGAGGACAUUUAGAGGAUACCUGUUGAUCCAUCCGUUACAGAACUUGACCUGUAAAGAAAAACACAACACAAAUAAAUAUGGAUCCUGUUGGGGAAUCCUUUUCUGCAAAUUCUGAUGCCCUCCAGCACACCGUUACAGCGCAGCUGGUGCAUGACCAGAGGAUUCUCCAUCGCCCCAGGAGUCUUUGUCUCAUUGGGGAUGAUGCAGCGCACAAA
Molecule: non-coding RNA, 782 nt
Organism: Paramisgurnus dabryanus
Lineage: Eukaryota; Metazoa; Chordata; Actinopteri; Cypriniformes; Cobitidae
Source: RefSeq, a predicted model, not a curated record